Molecule: ribosomal RNA, 451 nt
Filed under: uncultured bacterium
Lineage: Bacteria
Description: partial 16S ribosomal RNA
Rfam family: Bacterial small subunit ribosomal RNA
Source: RNAcentral
AGCGAACGCUGGCGGCAGGCUUAACACAUGCAAGUCGAGCGGGCAUAGCAAUAUGUCAGCGGCAGACGGGUGAGUAACGCGUGGGAACGUACCUUUUGGUUCGGAAAAACACAGGGAAACUUGUGCUAAUACCGGAUAAGCCCUUACGGGGAAGGAUUUAUCGCCGAAAGAUCGGCCCGCGUCUGAUUAGCUAGUUGGUGAGGUAAUGGCUCACCAAAGCGACGAACAGUAGCUGGUCUGAGAGGAUGAUCAGCCACAUUGGGACUGAGACACGGCCCAAACUCCUACGGGAGGCAGCAGUGGGGAAUAUUGGACAAUGGGCGCAAGCCUGAUCCAGCCAUGCCGCGUGAGUGAUGAAGGCCCUAGGGUUGUAAAGCUCUUUUGUGCGGGAAGAUAAUGACGGUACCGCAAGAAUAAGCCCCGGCUAACUUCGUGCCAGCCGCCGCGGUAA